GGGCUUUAAUAAAUGAAUGUGUAACGAAUGAGCAGCACUUGGCAGUGAGGCUCACAGCUACUUGGAAGCUGGAGACCCGAGGGACAGAAGGAGCACCAUUUGAAGAAGGGGUCAGCUGUGGACCUACUGCAGGAGAAGAUCCCUGACAAAUCUGACCUCCUUCCAAGUGCAAGGGAAAAAAACAAUCUUUUCCCCCCCAAAACACCUACCUCAAACAGCAAUUCCUCCCGACUCCUAGUGGUGCCCCAGUUACACAGCAGAAAGAACAAAGAAGUGAUUUAAGCAUCUUGACAUCGAAAUAGCUAUUGCCAAACACCAGAGGAUCAGCAGAAUCAUUAGAUUCCAGAAAAUGCAGAACCUCUGAGGCCUCUGUGUUCUUCCAUCCUGAUGUCAGACUGCUGGCCGCCCACGCCGAGCUGCUCUGUAAGAAUGUGCAGCCAGAAAGACGGGAGGGGGGAGGAAGGGCAAGGUCGCUUUGCGUGGAAUCUGGAAGCUCAGUGUUGAAGAUAAGUUAAAAACCAUCAGUGGACACCGGGGUUUCUCUGCUCCCAGUGAUGUGGGAACACAUUGGGGUGGCCCUGUCAGCCGAUCGGACGCAGCUGUGGGGUGUCACUGAGUUUAUCAGUCGGAGGCCCGACAGGAAAACAGAAUUAAUCCCAGGUGGCUCAAAUGAAAGACUCUAAGAGAUCAACCGAGAGGCAGGUUGGGUUAAGGGAACAAGGGAGAUGCCCAGAGAGUUCCGUCAGCCUGGAGCCAGGACUUCCCUGAGGCUAAAGGGGAAGGAGGGAAUUUUGGGGCGGGAACCCCUUUCCUGCCGGAUGCCUCCCACUGGCCAACCUGGCAGUCCCGGCCCGGGUGCCCAGGAGGAUGCCUUUCUCGGGGGUCAGCGUCCGGGGCUCAGAACGCACGGAGGCACCAGCCUUUGCACCUGAUGCCAGCAGUGUGGCCGGAAGCAUGAACUGGGGGAAGCAGAGUGUGAGGCAUGCACUGGCAAGAUGCUCCUGGAGAACCGCUAAGAAGCCAAGGCAAGAGAUGGUUCAUUUUGUUUUGGUUUCUAUCAUUUAAAAAUACUGUAAGUUCAUUUUAGUGUUAAUGUGCAAGAAUAUUCAUUUUUUCCUAUUGCCUGGAACCCAGCCCC
RNAcentral lists this long non-coding RNA (1138 nucleotides) under Canis lupus familiaris (dog). RNAcentral describes it as "lncRNA (ENSCAFG00845010660.1)". Lineage: Eukaryota; Metazoa; Chordata; Mammalia; Carnivora; Canidae. The record is from RNAcentral.